CAUGAGGAAAACAAAAGGGUAUCCCCAGAUUAUUUUGAAGAAGAAGAUUGGGGCUUAUAAUAAGAAGCAUAAGUCGGAGGAGAAUAGAUCACGGCAGCAGCCAUAGCUCCCGGAAACACUGCGUACUUAGCUAUCAGCGCAAUCUUCCUCACCAAUGGCUCUCCCUUCAUCAACGACAUGUUUAAAUCUCUUUGAUCAACACACCAAUUUUCUUCUACUGCUCUCUCUAUCAAUCAAUCA
RNAcentral lists this long non-coding RNA (240 nucleotides) under Solanum tuberosum (potato). Its description in RNAcentral is "long non-coding RNA (STUB_LNC002062)". Lineage: Eukaryota; Viridiplantae; Streptophyta; Magnoliopsida; Solanales; Solanaceae. The record is from RNAcentral.